GACCCUCCUUCUUGUCUGAGCAACCAGGCAAGCCCCCCCUUUGGUCAUCCCAAUAUCGCCCAUUCUAUACUCUCAUGCUUGCAUUAGAUUUUGCUACUGUUAUUGUUUGCUCUUAUUCUGAUGCAUAGCCUGCUCUUUUACCUGCUAUUGUUACCUACCUGCUUAUCCUAAACUGCUUAGUAUAGGUUGGCUAGUGAUCAAUCAUUGACCCCCACCUUGUCCUUGUCGCCCCUGCUUCAUCAUCGACAACUCGAUCAACGUGAUCGACGACCAGAGCCCGACACCUCACAUCACAUCACGCCCCUUUUGUUGCUCGACUCUGCAGAGCUACUAUCGAGUGCCGAGGGUGAUCCCUCAUAACGCACUCCUGAUGAUAAUUCUAUAGUGUAGCUAUUCGGUCGUGGUCAUCGAGGGUGAUUUCCUCUUUCACCAUUCCCGAUACGGCUCUGUCAUUCAACACCUCAAGUGUGAACCUCGAGGGUGGUCCCUCUUACGUUCACCUUGAUGAUUACAUUGAGUGGAAUCCACCGGGAGUGAUUCCUCGGGUUUUCCCCUUGAUGUUUGGACACACGGUUACAUUGGCUUUACUUGAGACCUUGGUGAAAGUCGAGAGGGCCCGGAGAGCACCCGCAAGAUAAUGACGUGGCACGACCGGGCAUUCUGAGCCCUUGUCGUAAGUCCACGAGACGGGGCGACAGGGUCACUUUUGAUCGUGAGUCUCUGCUCGUCUCCGCAAGCUAAUAAUACACUAUGGUUUGGGUAUUUGUUCUGAGUUGGCCUUUGGCCUUUACGCACCAACCACCACGUGAGAAUAGUUAUGGGCCUCGACGUCGUGGUAUUAGUCGAAGUUUUGUCAGACGUCCAGUUCAGCAUUGUGGGCCUGUCGCGCCAGUGCCAUCCAGUAUGAGGUGGUGCUCGUCCCGGCUCGUCGCACAACGACCCGGAGUGCAACGGGCGAUGGGCCCAGACCCCGAAGUGCUUAGGAUGUAAACCGGCGGGGACCUCUCUGCUGAGCCUAGGUAGGGCUGCGACGUGUUGAUCUUCUGAGGCCGAGCAUUGACCUAGAAAAGUGUGUCCGGCCAGAGUGAUCGAGCGUGUUGGAAAACGUGGUGCACCCCUGCAGGGAAGAUUAUCUAUUAAUAGUCGUGUCCACAGUAACGGACGUUCAGACUUAUAUCCUGAUGUUAUACAACUACCAAUGGAUACUUGAAUAUGUGGCUCCGAGAUUGCUUUCUCGCAGGGAGUCGAGGAAAGAUCUCUGGGCAUUAAUGUUACAACAUGUUUGUUAAUUAUAAACUGCUAUUCUUUACUCUUCUACAUGCUGCAAGAUGCGAGGAGCUGCGUGAAGAUGCUAGUCUUCGAUAGGCUAGGCCUUCCCCCUCUAUUCUGGCAUUCUGCAGCUCAGUCGAAAAAUACAAACCUUCCAUUUGAUACCAAUGCAUACUUAGUAUAGAUCUGAUGCUUGCGAGUACAUUGGAUGAGUACUCACGGUUGCUUUGCUACCCCUUUUCCCCCUUCUUUCUUCUUUCCGGUUGAUGCAACCAGGUGGUGGAUCCUUGGAGCCAGAUGCCACCGCCGACGGAUACUGCUACUUGGAGACCGCCGCCGACGAGGAGUAGUUAGGAGGUCCCAGGCAAGAGGCCUUGCCUCUUCGAUCGUGUUGCUUUUGUGCUAGCCUUCUUAAGGCAAACUUGUUUAACUUAUGUCUGUACCCAGAUAUUGUUGCUUCCGCUGACUCUUGUGUAUCGAGUGUAUCGAGCUAUGUAUUCGAGCCCUCGAGGCCCCUGGCUUGUAAUAUAAAGCUUGUAUUAUUUUAUUUGUGUCUAGAGUUGUGUUGUGAUAUCUUCCCG
RNAcentral lists this long non-coding RNA (1850 nucleotides) under Triticum aestivum (bread wheat). RNAcentral describes it as "long non-coding RNA (TAES_LNC000496)". The record is from RNAcentral. Lineage: Eukaryota; Viridiplantae; Streptophyta; Magnoliopsida; Poales; Poaceae.